RNAcentral lists this unclassified non-coding RNA (330 nucleotides) under soil metagenome. RNAcentral describes it as "partial contains 5.8S ribosomal RNA, internal transcribed spacer 2, and large subunit ribosomal RNA". The stretch from base 1 to 120 matches the Rfam family "5.8S ribosomal RNA", at positions 35 to 154 of the family's 154-position model. The record is from RNAcentral.
GAUGAAGAACGUAGCGAAAUGCGAUAAGUAAUGUGAAUUGCAGAAUUCAGUGAAUCAUCGAAUCUUUGAACGCACAUUGCGCCCCCUGGUAUUCCGGGGGGCAUGCCUGUUCGAGCGUCAUUUCACCACUCAAGCCUCGCUUGGUAUUGGGCAACGCGGUCCGCCGCGUGCCUCAAAUCGACCGGCUGGGUCUUCUGUCCCCUAAGCGUUGUGGAAACUAUUCGCUAAAGGGUGCUCGGGAGGCUACGCCGUAAAACAAACCCAUUUCUAAGGUUGACCUCGGAUCAGGUAGGGAUACCCGCUGAACUUAAGCAUAUCAAUAAGCGAGGA